RNAcentral lists this transfer RNA (73 nucleotides) under Candidatus Kaiserbacteria bacterium. RNAcentral describes it as "tRNA-Thr". It matches the Rfam family "tRNA". From Rfam's summary of the family: Transfer RNA (tRNA) molecules are approximately 80 nucleotides in length. Their secondary structure includes four short double-helical elements and three loops (D, anti-codon, and T loops). The record is from RNAcentral. Lineage: Bacteria; Candidatus Kaiseribacteriota.
GCCAAUGUAGCUCAGUUGGUAGAGCGCCGCCAUGGUAAGGCGGAGGUCUCCGGUUCAAUCCCGGACAUUGGCU